GACGAACGCCGGCGGCGUGCUUAACACAUGCAAGUCGAACGGAAAGGCCCUGCAUUUGUGGGGUGCUCGAGUGGCGAACGGGUGAGUAACACGUGAGUAACCUGCCCUUGACUUUGGGAUAACUUCAGGAAACUGGGGCUAAUACCGGAUAGGAGUUCCUGCUGCAUGGUGGGGGUUGGAAAGUUUCGGCGGUUGGGGAUGGACUCGCGGCUUAUCAGCUUGUUGGUGGGGUAGUGGCUUACCAAGGCUUUGACGGGUAGCCGGCCUGAGAGGGUGACCGGCCACAUUGGGACUGAGAUACGGCCCAGACUCCUACGGGAGGCAGCAGUGGGGAAUAUUGCACGAUGGGCGGAAGCCUGAUGCAGCAACGCCGCGUGCGGGAUGACGGCCUUCGGGUUGUAAACCGCUUUCGCCUGUGACGAAGCGUGAGUGACGGUAAUGGGUAAAGAAGCACCGGCUAACUACGUG
This 468-nucleotide ribosomal RNA is filed under the name uncultured bacterium. Its description in RNAcentral is "partial 16S ribosomal RNA". It matches the Rfam family "Bacterial small subunit ribosomal RNA", at positions 28 to 507 of the family's 1533-position model. The record is from RNAcentral.